UUAAUUGAAGCCAAAAAGAGGCUUAUCACUGUUAAUGAUAGAACUGAGAUUGAUCUCCAAUUAAG
RNAcentral lists this transfer RNA (65 nucleotides) under Bactrocera dorsalis (oriental fruit fly). RNAcentral describes it as "tRNA-Asn". RNAcentral also lists the same sequence under 3 other names. The record is from RNAcentral. Lineage: Eukaryota; Metazoa; Arthropoda; Insecta; Diptera; Tephritidae.